UUAUCAAAAACAUGUCUUUUUGGGGUAAAUAUAAAGUCUGGCCUGCCCAUUGAUAGUAAAUUUAAAGGCUGCGGUAUUUUGACCGUACAAAGGUAGCAUAAUCAUUAGUUUUUUAAUUGAAAACUAGAAUGAAUGGUUUAAUGAGAUAUUAGCUGUUUCAUAAAAAUUUUAUUAAAAAUUAAUUUUUUAGUUAAAAAGCUAAAAUAAAAUUUAAAGACGAGAAGACCCUAUAGAUUUUUAUAUAUAUAUUAUUAUUAUUUAUUUAUAAUUUUUAAAAUUUUAGUAUAAUUUGUAUUUUGUUGGGGUGACAGUAAAAUUUUUUUAUCUUUUAUUAUAAAAAUUAACAAUGAUUUUUGGUUAAAUUGAUCCUAUUUUAUAGAUUAUAAGAUUAAAUUACCUUAGGGAUAACAGCGUAAUUGUUUUGAAGAGUUCUUAUCGAUAAAAAAAUUUGCGACCUCGAUGUUGGAUUAA
This 471-nucleotide ribosomal RNA is filed under the name Synapha vitripennis. RNAcentral's name for it is "partial 16S ribosomal RNA". The record is from RNAcentral. Lineage: Eukaryota; Metazoa; Arthropoda; Insecta; Diptera; Mycetophilidae.